Molecule: long non-coding RNA, 735 nt
Filed under: Gallus gallus (chicken)
Lineage: Eukaryota; Metazoa; Chordata; Aves; Galliformes; Phasianidae
Description: lncRNA (ENSGALG00010018692.1)
Source: RNAcentral
UUCCCUUGAGACAGCAACCCUGGCCAAGUCUAAAGCCUGCUGGAGCUACCUGCCUGCCGUACCUUUAUCCUCUUUGCCAUGGAAGUGCAUCAGAGAGCAGGAACUCAAGCAGCUAGCAGUACCACUGACUUAAAAAAAGCAUCCCUCUUCCCCAUAUCGCUCAUCCUUCUGCUCUGAUGCCAUCAGUGCUGCUUUGAACAGCGCUGCGAAUAGUGCUGAUUGCAGAGCAGCAGCAGGAAGAUGGGAAUCAUUACAGAGACUCAGCCAAAGCCCUGUAAUUAAUUAGUUAGAAAAGCAUCUCGGUGUUAUUAGAGAGGCCUCAGCAGAGGAAGUGACACCUCCGUUCUUGCAGACUCACCUUCCGCCAGAGCUGCUGCUGCGAUGUUUGACAUUGGGCUGGUGCAAACAGAACCUGGAAGUCGGUGCAGUAGGGAGAGGAGCAGCUUGCAGGCUCUGCCCUUGGCCAGCGCUGUACUGCAUGCCGGGAGGGCUCCGUGCAGACAUCAGAUCCUGGAAAUGGCUCAGGCAAGUUCCCAGUCAUUCUCUGGGCAGAGGUUCGAGUGGGAGAUUGUGUUUGGCUGAACUGCCUCGCUCAUCCCAUGAUACUGAACGGCUUAAAUCCCCCAUGUUUUACCUUGCACAUAUGUGGAUGUAUCACAGAAAGCUCCCUGUCUGAGCAGCUGUCACCAGCUUUGCAAUGACAAGAAGCAUUUCUUCAGCUUUCAGCUCUGAAGC